RNAcentral lists this ribosomal RNA (404 nucleotides) under uncultured bacterium. RNAcentral's name for it is "bacterial SSU rRNA". It matches the Rfam family "Bacterial small subunit ribosomal RNA", at positions 29 to 412 of the family's 1533-position model. The record is from RNAcentral.
AACGAACGCUGGCGGCGUGGAUAAGACAUGCAAGUCGAACGGGAUUACUUCGAGUAGCAAUACCUGAAGUAAUUUAGUGGCGAACGGGUGCGUAACACGUGGGGAAUCUGCCGAGAAGUGGGGGGAUAGCUCGUCGAAAGGCGAAUUAAUACCGCAUAUGAUCAGGGAAGACAUCUUUCCAACAUCAAAGCCGGGGCGAACCUGGCGCUUCUUGAUGACCCCGCCGGCCUAUCAGCUAGUUGGUGAGGUAACGGCCCACCAAGGCGAUGACGGGUAGCUGGUCUGAGAGGACGACCAGUCACACUGGAACUGAGACACGGUUCAGACACCUACGGGUGGCAGCAGUCGAGUAAUUUUUCUUCAAUGGGGGCAACCUGAAGGAGCGACGCCGCGUGGAGGAUGAA